CAGCAGCCGCGGUAAUACGUAGGGUGCGAGCGUUAAUCGGAAUUACUGGGCGUAAAGCGAGCGCAGACGGUUAUUUAAGCAGGAUGUGAAAUCCCCGGGCUUAACCUGGGAACUGCGUUCUGAACUGGAUAGCUAGAGUGUGUCAGAGGGGGGUAGAAUUCCACGUGUAGCAGUGAAAUGCGUAGAGAUGUGGAGGAAUACCGAUGGCGAAGGCAGCCCCCUGGCCAAUACUGACGCUCAUGCACGAAAGCGUGGGGAGCAAACAGGAUUAGAUACCCGGGUAGUCCCUGUCUCUUAUACA
RNAcentral lists this ribosomal RNA (301 nucleotides) under uncultured bacterium. RNAcentral describes it as "partial 16S ribosomal RNA". It matches the Rfam family "Bacterial small subunit ribosomal RNA", at positions 509 to 808 of the family's 1533-position model. The record is from RNAcentral.